CCUACGGGUGGCAGCAGUGAGGAAUAUUGGUCAAUGGACGAGAGUCUGAACCAGCCAAGUAGCGUGAAGGAUGACUGUCCUAUGGGUUGUAAACUUCUUUUAUCAAGGAAUAAAACGAGGCACGUGUGCCCUUUUGCAUGUACUUUAUGAAUAAGGAUCGGCUAACUCCGUGCCAGCAGCCGCGGUAAUACGGAGGAUCCGAGCGUUAUCCGGAUUUAUUGGGUUUAAAGGGAGCGUAGAUGGGUUGUUAAGUCAGUUGUGAAAGUUUGCGGCUCAACCGUAGAAUUGCAAUUGAUACUGGCAGUCGUGAGUACAGUUGAGGUAGGCGGAAUUCGUGGUGUAGCGGUGAAAUGCUUAGAUAUCACGAAGAACCCCGAUUGCGAAGGCAGCUUACUAAACUGUGACUGACAUUGAUGCUCGAAAGUGUGGGUAUCAAACAGGAUUAGAUACCCUAGUAGUC
Molecule: ribosomal RNA, 460 nt
Filed under: uncultured bacterium
Lineage: Bacteria
Description: partial 16S ribosomal RNA
Rfam family: Bacterial small subunit ribosomal RNA
Source: RNAcentral